RNAcentral lists this ribosomal RNA (424 nucleotides) under uncultured Ethanoligenens sp. RNAcentral describes it as "bacterial SSU rRNA". It matches the Rfam family "Bacterial small subunit ribosomal RNA", at positions 355 to 794 of the family's 1533-position model. Lineage: Bacteria; Bacillati; Bacillota; Clostridia; Eubacteriales; Oscillospiraceae. The record is from RNAcentral.
UGGGGGAUAUUGCACAAUGGAGGAAACUCUGAUGCAGCAACGCCGCGUGAGGGAAGAAGGUUUUCGGAUUGUAAACCUCUGUUUUAGUGACGAAACAAAUGACGGUAGCUAAAGAGGAAGCCACGGCUAACUACGUGCCAGCAGCCGCGGUAAUACGUAGGUGGCAAGCGUUGUCCGGAAUUACUGGGUGUAAAGGGUGCGCAGGCGGGACUGUAAGUUGGAUGUGAAAUGCCGAGGCUUAACCACGGCACUGCAUCCAAAACUGCGGUUCUUGAGUGAAGUAGAGGUAGGCGGAAUUCCGAGUGUAGCGGUGAAAUGCGUAGAUAUUCGGAGGAACACCAGUGGCGAAGGCGGCCUACUGGGCUUUAACUGACGCUGAGGCACGAAAGCAUGGGGAGCAAACAGGAUUAGAUACCCUGGUAGU